GCUCAAGUAGCCAAAGCAAACCAAACAUUGGAACCAUUAUGAAAGUUGGUAUUUAUAUGGCAUCUUUAUACAUAAUCAGACAUAUGUAGCUUAUUUAAAUAGUAUGGAGGAGAUACUUAGAUGGCAUAUUUAUUUAUCCAUCAUGAUAACAUCAUGGUUCAGGCAUACCAUGCAAGACUUAGAUGGCAUCUUUAUACAUAAUUGCCUCAGGCAUAUCCAGCCUGGUAAUAGAAUGGGCAGCUCGAUAGAAGAAAAACAGCAACUUACAUCGAAACAAAGCUAUGAAGGUAGUUUGCGAUAGCUCAUUUACACUGCCUUUAUAAAGCAAACUACAUAGCUAGCUAUAUCAUAUGUAUAUGCUUGUCCUAUUGGCUUCUGGUUUAUGUGCGUUGAUAGUUGGAUCUGUUUAAGAUUGUUUAGUGUCAGCAAUGAAUUCAUAUAACUGAAAAUAGGAAAGCGUUUAUUAACUGACCUUAUGAAAGGUUAUGCACACUGGCUCACAGUGUGCCUUCUUUGCCUUCAAAAACAAAGACACACAUGUCACUUGAUUAAACCUUGCUGCCUAGACAAAGUUAGUCCAAUUAACCCGAACUUGCAUCUGAACACAUCCAAAUGUGAUUUUGAUGGCCAUGUGUUUGACAAAUGGGUUUAGAAACUCUUUGAGAUUAUGUAUCGUGUAUGGGAAAGAGCAUGAACAUGUUAGAGAAGAUAUAAACCAAGGAACUGAUUAAUAGUAUCGACAUAGAAAAUAAGUAAUUUGAAAGUGGACAGAUAAAAAAAUCAUAAGGCGCUAUUAUGCUUCAAAAGUAAUUGAUGUUAUGAUUUUUAAUGCCAACAAUCUAUGUAUCAGAAGAACUACAAUUUUGUUUAAUAACAAAGCAUACAUGAAGAGCCUCCCUUAUCUCAACAAAUCAAGAAAUAACUGUUGCACCAUAAACUAAUCAGGUGCUUUUUCACCUCUCUGUUGUCCCAAGAAUAUUUCUCUCAACUAAAUACAUGGGAAAAAGUGCAUAUAAGAAACAGUAUGGACCUACAGAAUCGGUUAGAUAAGAACGGCUUGAUAAGAAUGCAAUGCAGCAAACAUAGAACGACAACUCCAAUAAGUAAAAUUGAAUUUGAUACUCUCUCUUAUUUGAUUUCAGUUAAUCAUAAACUUUGUACCUAGCAUCAAAGAGCUUAUAGUUCGAAAGAGUUAAGCCUACUGGCCAUAAAGGUAUAGGCAAAGACUGGAACAACUAAUUUAAACUCUUUCCUACGGGGAUUGCACGACACAUUUGUUCAUUACUUCAUAAUAACUGAAACAAAGGAUGGUCGAUGUCAUGGAUAAAUGAAAUAAUUACAUAAAAAUGAAUGCUAGUGAAGGAGAAAGAAAAUAGGAUGAACUCAUCGGAAAUAGAGGAGGCCCAGCCUGAUGCACCCCUACAAGGCUUCACCCCAUGGCGUCUCUUCUGGUUGUGCCUAGACUACCUGAAGCUGGUGACUUACCACGGCUAGGUAGGCUCUAGCAAGACCAUGGCGGCCGGUGUUGCCGCUCAGGUAAAAACUAACCUCCUUCAUGUUUGAUGAACCCGUAGAAGUUUUUGUGAGAUCAUUAGCUCGAUCUCCACCGUUAGUUGUGAGCCCCGCUGCUGCAAAAUCUGAAAUUAAAUAUAUCACAACAUUUUCAAAUGAAGGAUGAGGGCUGAAGACCUUGAACGAAAUGUGAAAACCCAAAGUCAGAUAGAUUCUAACUGGACACCUGUUUAUAAAUACUCACUCUGUCCUAAAAUAAGUGUCGUUGAGUACUAAUUUUGACACUUAUCUCAUGCAUUUGUGCGUUCCCAAAAUCAAAGGAGAAAUGAAGCAGGAAGUACGUAAAGUCCGAGUUGGUCGAGUAUCCAUUGACGACCGCUACAUGGGAAGAAUUAAACUUUGUUGCUAGUUAGUAUGUACAACAGACAGUCUAUUCAUGCUAACAACGUAUGCUAUUAGACUCUUAAAUCAUACUGCAUGUUUCUAUUUUCUGAAUUAGAAUAGUGACCUCGGUAUAGCAGAGAACAAACACGCGUAUAGCUAGCUUAAUUACCUGACAAAGCUAUUAGUAAUGUAGUAGCAAAAUAUUGAGCUCCUUCUGAUUCUUGCUCUGUUUCCACUUGAGCAAUCCCUCUCUGCCUCUCAAAUCUUUGAUGCUGAGUGCUGAGUUUAAUUUAAGAAAAAAGAACUUGUAAGAUAAAUAAGUGUCAAUGAUCCCUGAGAGCAUAUAUAUAUAUAGCUACAUUCUACCUAUAGACCCACCGCCCUGAUUCCAUUAGAUUAUUGCAUAUUUUUAACCUGGUGUGGAAAACUGCUUUGCAUUGACGUUACCAUGCAACAGACCUGUGCACCAUCAACAAUGGCAUAAUUCAGUCAUGUAGAUGUGCAGAUGAUCACUAAAACAUGAAAAAGAAAAGAUAGAAAAAUGCAUUGAAAGUUUGGACUUGAAAUAUAGAAGAUUACCCACUUGCUGUACUGAAUGCAAGCAUAGUCAAGUAUAACUUGUUUAAUCUAUUUAGGGUUUUAGUUUCACGUACCGUAGCAUUGCUGCAAAUUUGAGGCAACAUAGCAGAUUAACUUCAGAAUGAAAUGGACCAGCUAUUAUAUUAUUGUAAGCUAAAUGUAUAAAUGUAAAAUCAUAUUUAGUUGCAAAAGUAAGUUAAAUGUUCACACAGAGGAUAGCUAAUGUCGCCCAUGGCAUAAAAACACAAUAUAACCGAAACAAAAUAAAGGGCAUCCGUUUCCAUGCAUGUAAGUGAAUCCAUCUCCAAGGGAUCAGAUCAGAGCACCCCAAACCAAACCAAUCUACUCCCUCCGUUCCUAAAUAUAGGUCUUUGAAGAGCACUGGUAGAAAAAGGGCCUUUUGUCCCGGUUCGUAAGGGCCUUCUGUCCCGGUUUUGAAAUCGGGACUAAAAGGUCGUUACUAAUGCCCUCGGCCUUUAGUCCCGGUUCUUACACCAACCGGGACAUAUGGGCCUCCACGUGGCCGCUGCGGCCAGGCCAGGCAGGGGGCCUUUAGUCCCAGUUGAUGACACCAACCGGGACCAAAAGACAUCCACACAUCAGCACCUGACUGAAGCUGAGGUUUUUUUUUUGAAAGGGGCUGGUUUAGGGGUUAAUUUAGGUUGUUAUAUACACCAACCAAGGAGCAUCCAUGAUCAAGCACAAAAAGAAAUAAUUUUAUCUUUCAUCCAUGAGCAUCCAUGAGCAUGCACAAAAUUUCAUCACGCACACCACCAUCAUACUUAAAAGUGCAGUAGCAGUUCAACACUACCGUACUUAAAAGGUUUACACUAUAAAGAUUAAAGCUCCAUCAGGUUCUUAAGAUCUUCACUCCUGCUUCUUUACCUUCUCCUUCAUCAUCCUCAUGCGCUUAGAGCGGUGAAGCCCCAGGCCAGGUAACAAAGUAACAAAACUAACUGACGAUGGCAAGCUACAAUCCGGC
This 3457-nucleotide long non-coding RNA is filed under the name Hordeum vulgare. RNAcentral describes it as "long non-coding RNA (HVUL_LNC007718)". Lineage: Eukaryota; Viridiplantae; Streptophyta; Magnoliopsida; Poales; Poaceae. The record is from RNAcentral.